This 393-nucleotide ribosomal RNA is filed under the name uncultured bacterium. RNAcentral describes it as "partial 16S ribosomal RNA". It matches the Rfam family "Bacterial small subunit ribosomal RNA", at positions 523 to 918 of the family's 1533-position model. The record is from RNAcentral.
AUACGGAGGAUGCGAGCGUUAUCCGGAUUUAUUGGGUUUAAAGGGUGCGUAGGCGGACGAUUAAGUCAGCUGUGAAAUGCCCGCGCUUAACGCGGGAAGUGCAGUUGAUACUGGUUGUCUGGAGUGCCGUUGCCGUGGGGGGAAUGUGUAGUGUAGCGGUGAAAUGCAUAGAUAUUACACAGAACGCCGAUUGUGAAGACACCUCACGAGGCAGUAACUGACGUUGAGGCACGAAAGCGUGGGGAUCAAACAGGAUUAGAAACCCGGGUCGCCCACGCCAUAAACGAUGAUGACAAACAUGUGGCGAUAGACCGCCGUUGGCCAAGAGAAAGCGAUAAGUCAUGCACCUGGGGAGUACUACCGCAAGGUUGAAACUCAUAUGAAUAGACGGGG